GCUUGUCUCAAAGAUUAAGCCAUGCACGUGUCAGUACAAUCCCUAGCAUGGAAAAACUGCGGAUGGCUCAUUAGAUCAGUUAUGGUUCCUUAGAACGUACAUCCCAAGUGGAUAACCCUGGCAAUUCUAGAGCUAAUACAUGCACCGAAGCUCCGACCGCAAGGGACGAGCGCAGUUAUUGGACCGAACGCACCCCGGCGUCAAACCCGGGGCUGUUGAGGUGACUCUGGAUAACCAUGCGGAUCGCACGGCCUUUGCGCUGGCGACAAUUCUUUCGAAUGUCUGCCCUAUCAGAGUCGAUGGUAGUCGAGAAGGACUACCAUGCUGACAACGGGUAACGGGGAAUCAGGGUUUGAUUCCGGAGAGGGAGCCUGAGAAACGGCCACCACAUCCAAGGAAGGCAGCAGG
RNAcentral lists this ribosomal RNA (408 nucleotides) under Capitella teleta. Its description in RNAcentral is "partial small subunit ribosomal RNA". It matches the Rfam family "Eukaryotic small subunit ribosomal RNA", at positions 30 to 432 of the family's 1831-position model. The record is from RNAcentral. Lineage: Eukaryota; Metazoa; Annelida; Polychaeta; Capitellidae.